CUUAAGCCUGAAAAUAUUCAUUGAAACACCAUGGCUGAGCAAAGUCCACCCUUCCAGCUCUAAUCAAUUUCUCUGAAGUUGGCCAGAUGUUGUCACAAUUUCCCCAUAGCAGGAACCGGGGAAGUUCUGCGGUGAGAAUAACACCCAGGAGCUUGCAUGAACUGGCAGUGAGUGGUUAUUCCAUGCAGAGAAUUAUAUUUUUUUUGUUUUGUUGUCUUUUUUUUUUUUAAGGCAACAUGUCUCUUCUUAGAAACAAAUGAAAAUUCUGUAACAAAAGCCAUCAGGCCAGUAGAAAUCCAGUGGUGGUGCUUUCAUAAUUUGGAACUUCUUCACUCAAUAUGUUGUCCCAAGCUCCAUGAUGGGGAAGCUGUCCACAUGGGAUAGGUAAGGAAAUUCAUUGCCAAGUGGGUCUCCUUCUGGAGCUGCUGGGCUGGCUGGAAAGAGCCAUCAAUUCUAUGGAUUCAAGGAGUCCCCAAGAUGAAUGCGGAAUACCAGGGCCUGGGGAGGAUUUUGCCCUAGGGCCAUGAAGGCCCACAGAAAUUCCAGAACCUUCCCAGAAGUUCAGGUGCAAUUGCACUCUUCACAGAGAAGGAUCCAGGAGCCCCAAGUACCAGCUUCCUUCUGUUCACACUGUGACUUGCUAAUCUCUUCCUUCAGCCAAUGGCUUCAACUUCGUUUUCACCACAUCAUUAUUUUUGUGUCCCAGACACACCAAUGAGAUGUCAACACCAUUUUGAUGAGAAUUUAAUUUCAUCAUGAAGAUUAUAGGUAAAUAACAUAACAGCUUUCUGCUCACCAAGGACUCUCUGGCAGAGGGGAAUAAAACCUGAUAAUCCCAGGGAGGGGGAAGGGCACUCACUUUUAUUGCACUCUUCCUAAAUCCAGGUACUUUACAUAGUUUAUCUCAGAUAAGUUCAUCCUAGGCAACAGCCCUAUGAGGAUUGUCAUUCAACAAAGAAAGAUUUAAGGGGAUUGAAAAAGUUACCCAGGCCUCAAGACCAGCAGGCAGACACAGGGCCAAAGUCUAGAAUCAUUCCACUUAUGAAGCACCAGCUUUGAAUAGAGAAUACCUAUAACUCUUAUACCAACUCCUAAGGUCUGUAGACCAGCAGGAGAAGGUGUGAUGGCAGCCACCUAGGGUCUUGGGGCUGGAAAGAGGUCCAUACAGGAACCCCAAGUGAACUGAAACCACCACUGAAGGCUAGGCUUCCUUCUCCAGAAUGCAGCUCUUGCCUUGCAAAAGAAAUCAUGGUCUAACCGUGGUUCUGACACAAGCCUUGCCUUCAGUUCAGGGCUGCAACUUCAAGUUCCCACUUGAACUAUCCAAGCCUAAUGACCCAGGUAUGUAAGGCUGAAUUGUCACCUUCAGCCUGCACCAGGGAAUGGCCAGAUGGCAUUCAGGGUGAUUCUGUGCUUCUGGCUGACUAAUCUCCCCAGGUAUAAGAGUAAACAAAGAGCUUGGGGAUGCCAUAUGUCCCUGAGUCAUUGUGCUUGCCGGAAUCACCAUCAUUCUACAUAACAUAUGCUUUCCAGGACCAAGGUGGAAACUUGUCUUAUAGUUGAAGGCAGAAUGAUUAAAAACAUAAAGGCAUAUCUAGGGAGUGUGCAUCUGUCAGUUGUAUCCUAAAUGAUAUUUAUUUUUUUAAACUGUGGUUUGUUUUACUAAACAGUGUUCAACUCCAAUCACUUCUUCCAGGGUCCUGCAUGGCUCUGGCUAUUGUAGGCCCUCAGGGAUGUGAACUGAAUCAAAGGGUUACAUUCUUAAUCCACAUUCUUUGUUUACCGAUUUGCAAGUUCCCUCUGAGUUGAAAAUGAAGUCAAUCCUAAUUUAGUUUAAAGAUUUCCUGCUGAGAUUUGGAGGUGGCAUCGAACAGGGUGCCCCUUCCUUCUAACCACUUUAGAGUCCCCCAGGCAGGAUAACCUGAAAGGAAAGGUUGAGGAUGAGUCAUAGAAUCACACUCUCAGGGGCUGAGAAAACUGGGAAGUUCCUGAGGAUGGACACUUAGCAUUCAUUAGGAAAAUAAUGGCUCACAAGCUCCCAUCACCUCAGUGUCUUGGUCAACCAGAAUGGUGAAAGUAUGGGCUAGUCAAGGACAGAGGCUUAGAAGCCUUGAGCUGGAGGAGUUAGACCCACCCAAUUUAUUCCUUUCCUUUAUGCAGGGGGGCAGAGUAACACCUAGGGUCAUACAGUUAAGGGAUUUCAGGGUCUCUUAAUGGCCCGGUGCUUUUCAUGAAAGACAGAAUCCAGUGGGGCCUCUAGUGUUUGAGUCACUCUGACCCAGGUGCUGGGGGACCCCUGGGGUGGAUGUCUGCCUUUUACCCUUCAGACCUUUAGACCAUGGCCUACAUUCUACAACCAGAGCCAAUGGAAGCUAAGGAUGAUUUGGAGUUGUGAUAGCAGUGAAUGUCAUUCUAGACCAAACUUUUGAUACUAUUGAAAGCUUUUCAGUGUUUGGCAGUUUUCCACUCUCCAUCCCAUCUAAUCCUGAAAAAUUUGUGAGGUGGGCCUAUUGCCACUGCACGAAACUUUGAAAGACCAAAUGACCCAUCCAAGGACCCACUAUUGAUGGGAAAGAGAUGGAAUUUGAACUUAGGCUAGCAUCUAACAUGGUUCCAAGGUUCUAUUCAUAAUCUCUUAAAGGUAGUUCUUAGACGAGUGGGAUCUUACAGCUAUGGAAGACAGACUGGGAAUUCAAUGUGUGUGCUUCAAACACUUUGGAAGCUCCCCGCUCCAGGAAGCAGUUUUUCUUUCUAAAAGGAAAAUGCAUAUAUGUUUAUUUCCAUUCAGUACUCCUGUCCUGCUAUAAAGGAGGAGGUCCCCACCUUUCUUUAUUCUUUUUAUUUCUAUUAUCAAGUCUUUAGCUUUUCUUCUAAAACUAAAAUUCCAACUCCAAUUCAGGAAUGCUUAUAACAUUGGCCCAUGAAACAGUUGCUGGCUUCAAUCAUUGCAACACCUACUUGUGUAAUAGAGUGAAAUUACUUUUUAUACAUGAAAUCUUAGAAAAAUAUUCCUCUCAGAAGAGUUAUGAAUAAAAUCCCAUGGCUGCUCGUCCAAAAGAGUGGAAUUUUAUCACUGGAGGGGAGCUGGGGCACAAAUUGGAUCCAGCCUGUCACUCAGGUUGCUGCUGCAGGAGCCUGGCAGAUGGGGCACGCACCACUAAGUCUUAAAGAGAGGGGUCUUCCCUGGAAUGGAUUUUUGGGAAAGAACCUACUUUGGGGAACCUGGCUGGCUCAGUCAGAGGAGCAGGCCACUUUUGAUCUCAGGGUCUAAAUUCAAGCCCCACAUGGGUGUAGAGGUUACUUUAAUAAAUAAAGACUUAGAAAAUAAAAGGAGGGGCACCUGGGUGGCUCAGUUGGUUAAGUGUCCAACUGCAACUCAGGUCAUGAUCUCACAGUUCGUGAGUUCAAGCCCUUCAUCAGGCUAUGUGCUAACAUAGAGCCUGCUUUGGAUUCUGUGUCUCCCUCUCUCUCUCUGCCCCUCCCCAGCUUAUGCUCCGUCUCUCUCUGUCUUAAAAAUAAAUAAAACAUUAAAAUUAAAAAAAAAAUAAAAGGAAAAGAAACUACUUUGAAAAAGCUUAUGUUAAUAUUAGCCAAAUACAUUGGAGUCCCCAAAUCACUGUCUCUUGCUUGACUUCUUAUUGGAACUUCAGAUUUGUAUUCUGUAUGGUCUGUGUUGGCAUCUCCUCAUGCAGAUCCUUCUCAACAUCUCACUCAAUGGGCACCUUUUCACUUCUGCUGUCAGUUUCCCAUGGGCUUCCUCUCUGCACUUGGCCUCCCACUGGCAUGAGCAAAACAUGGGAGCUUCCUCCCGGGUGCACCUUCCUUUCUUCCACAGAGCUCUCUCAGCUUCCAGUAUCACACAGAAGUCAGGAAUCAAGGCUUCUCUGAGUAUUAGUGAAUAAAUACUCCAGCUCCAUCUAUCCCAGGUGGAGCAUUCUGAGGUUUGCUCUUGGCUUCUCCCAGCAGGUUGAACCCCCACAGACACAGCAGGAACCUCCACAACCUUGUGUUGGUUCUGUCCCUUCCCUGGUUUGCUUCCCCACUGCCCUACAGUUUCACAAGGUCACCUUCCAAACACUGCUUAUAAAUGAAUUUCUCUUUCAGAGUCAGUUUCUGGGGGAACACAAACUAAGACAUACUUCAAACUCAGCAUGCUUGAAACAUCGUUCUCUUCCUUGUGGUGUUUCCAUCCCAGUUGGUAACAACACCCCAAGAGCUCAUUUUUAUUCUCAUUCUUCCAUACUGGAAAGUCCACCUUUUAAUUGGUCACUGAUUUCUAUAAAGUAAACCUCCAAAAAGCCCCCCAAUCAGUACCUCUUUUACUUCCAUAAAAGUUUUCACAAAACCUCGGGCAAUUUUAAUAGUUUCCUCACAGUUCUGUGUAUCUUUAAUUUAUCCUCUCUCUAAGGCAUUCUUCAUAGAUUUUCAUGACUUAUCCUUUGAAAACACAAAUUUGGCCAUGUGCUAUACUGUGCUGAAAAUUCUUAUCUCUCACUGCUGCCUAUAGAAGGUCCAAGCUCCCAAGCUCUGUGCAAAUCCUCACCAUAAGGCCCCUGUUCUAGAUCUCUCUCCUCCAGCUGAUCUGUUUCACAUGGCAAACCCACCAUCCACACCCAACUUGCAAGUCCCCAAAUAAUAAUACACCUUCUUUGUCAGCAUUGGACUUUGCCCAUGCUAUUUCUUGACCUCAGAAUGUUGUUCACUUCUUUUUCUUCUUUCUUCUUUUUUUUGUUUGAUGAAUUUUUAUACAUCCCCAAAUAACCAAAUUGAACCUCACUUGCCUGCCCCUGACAGCUGCAUUAAAGUGGUGGUCUUUCUUUCCUUUCACACAUGCACUAUCAUUUGGGAGUGGCAGUGUAUCCUCACAUGCAUGUGUUUGUCUUUCCACUUUGUUGUGGGUCUUUCAUUGUAGGGAACAUUUGGAUUCUUGUAGUUCCUGCAUAAUUACUGCCUGACACAAAAAGUAGAUACCCAAUAGUUGUGUCCUUCCAGGUGCUUAGGUUAAAAGCUGGGAUUCAUCCUUGAUUCAUCUCUUCUUUUUAUACCCCACAGACUCAAUCCAUCAAGACAUCCUGUUAGUUGCACCUCCAAAAUGCAGGAUCACACAUAGAGAGUCUUGCCACUUCCCGCCACCUGCACUGUUACCUGUUACCAAUGUGAC
This 5161-nucleotide long non-coding RNA is filed under the name Lynx pardinus (Iberian lynx). Lineage: Eukaryota; Metazoa; Chordata; Mammalia; Carnivora; Felidae. The record is from RNAcentral.